Molecule: ribosomal RNA, 495 nt
Filed under: uncultured bacterium
Lineage: Bacteria
Description: partial 16S ribosomal RNA
Rfam family: Bacterial small subunit ribosomal RNA
Source: RNAcentral
GACGAACGCUGGCGGCGUGCCUAAUACAUGCAAGUAGAACGCUGAAGGAGGAGCUUGCUUCUCUGGAUGAGUUGCGAACGGGUGAGUAACGCGUAGGUAACCUGCCUGGUAGCGGGGGAUAACUAUUGGAAACGAUAGCUAAUACCGCAUAAUAGUAGAUGUUGCAUGACAUUUGCUUAAAAGGUGCAAUUGCAUCACUACCAGAUGGACCUGCGUUGUAUUAGCUAGUUGGUGAGGUAGCGGCUCACCAAGGCGACGAUACAUAGCCGACCUGAGAGGGUGAUCGGCCACACUGGGACUGAGACACGGCCCAGACUCCUACGGGAGGCAGCAGUAGGGAAUCUUCGGCAAUGGACGGAAGUCUGACCGAGCAACGCCGCGUGAGUGAAGAAGGUUUUCGGAUCGUAAAGCUCUGUUGUAAGAGAAGAACGAGUGUGAGAGUGGAAAGUUCACACUGUGACGGUAUCUUACCAGAAAGGGACGGCUAACUACGUG